RNAcentral lists this long non-coding RNA (262 nucleotides) under Cricetulus griseus (Chinese hamster). RNAcentral's name for it is "lncRNA (ENSCGRG00000025882.1)". The record is from RNAcentral. Lineage: Eukaryota; Metazoa; Chordata; Mammalia; Rodentia; Cricetidae.
AAGUUAUCAGACUCCCCAUUCUUUCUGGGUCCUUGGGGAAACUCCAGUCUGAAGAGUUUGUUGUGUUAACUCCUGGUUUCUGCCAGUCUGAGAAGAUGCUGCUGAACAUCACCCAAUGACUUUCCAGCUAUGAGGAGAAAAAGGAGGAAUGGAGGACAGUUUAAACAAGUUUAAACAAGCCAUCUCCCUCCAGAUGGUGACUGCCAUACCAAACCACAGACUUGGAUCACUGUCUUCAGAGUUCUAGCUUGUUCUGCCUGGC